CCGUCUAGAGUAUAGCCUUGGAUCGACGGCGGAGAUGGAGGUGGGAUCGUACUGGAAGGAUUUAUUCAGCUCGUGCUGGCAUGCUUAUUCCUAAGUGAAUCCACCUAAUACAACACAAGUAAUGCAAAUAUUUUCAGACAGGUUACCGAUUAGGAUCUGUUGCAAGGGGAUCAACGUCGACUCCAAAAAGGCGAAGGGCUCCAUCAUCGAAAUUAUUACCACUCCCUACAACACAGCUUGAUGUAUUUAGGAAUCAUUCAAGUUCAAAAUAACUUAAGAAAAUCCAUGCAAGACAAGGCAUAACCAGUUGGGGUUCGAGUUCCUGAACUGCGACCAGAAGAAGGCGUAACAUUUUCACCACACGAUAUUCCCCGAAAGUGAAGACCAACCAACAAGCUAUAAUCCAUAAUCCUCUCCUGCUCAAGAAAGUCACAGUCCCUAUCCACUUGCCUGCGUUCAAAAGUUCUAUCAAAUCUAUAACCUUACUUUACUCUCAU
Long non-coding RNA from Arachis duranensis, 497 nucleotides. RefSeq lists it as uncharacterized. The record is from RefSeq and is a predicted model, not a curated record. The transcript has 3 exons. NCBI's taxonomy places the organism in Eukaryota, Viridiplantae, Streptophyta, Magnoliopsida, Fabales, Fabaceae.